RNAcentral lists this ribosomal RNA (484 nucleotides) under uncultured bacterium. Its description in RNAcentral is "partial 16S ribosomal RNA". It matches the Rfam family "Bacterial small subunit ribosomal RNA", at positions 30 to 507 of the family's 1533-position model. The record is from RNAcentral.
AUUGAACGCUGGCGGCAGGCCUAACACAUGCAAGUCGAGCGGACGAAGGGAGCUUGCUCCUGGAUUCAGCGGCGGACGGGUGAGUAAUGCCUAGGAAUCUGCCUGGUAGUGGGGGAUAACGUCCGGAAACGGGCGCUAAUACCGCAUACGUCCUGAGGGAGAAAGUGGGGGAUCUUCGGACCUCACGCUAUCAGAUGAGCCUAGGUCGGAUUAGCUAGUUGGUGGGGUAAAGGCCUACCAAGGCGACGAUCCGUAACUGGUCUGAGAGGAUGAUCAGUCACACUGGAACUGAGACACGGUCCAGACUCCUACGGGAGGCAGCAGUGGGGAAUAUUGGACAAUGGGCGAAAGCCUGAUCCAGCCAUGCCGCGUGUGUGAAGAAGGUCUUCGGAUUGUAAAGCACUUUAAGUUGGGAGGAAGGGCAGUAAGUUAAUACCUUGCUGUUUUGACGUUACCAACAGAAUAAGCACCGGCUAACUUCGCG